UACGUAGGUGGCAAGCGUUAUCCGGAUUUACUGGGCGUAAAGGGAGCGCAGGCGGCGCGCCAAGUCUGAUGUGAAACCCCGGGGCUCAACCCCGGGCAUGCAUUGGAAACUGGCGGGCUGGAGUGCCGGAGAGGUAAGCGGAAUUCCUAGUGUAGCGGUGAAAUGCGUAGAUAUUAGGAGGAACACCAGUGGCGAAGGCGGCUUACUGGACGGCAACUGACGCUGAGGCUCGAAAGCGUGGGGAGCAAACAGG
This 253-nucleotide ribosomal RNA is filed under the name uncultured bacterium. Its description in RNAcentral is "partial 16S ribosomal RNA". It matches the Rfam family "Bacterial small subunit ribosomal RNA", at positions 524 to 776 of the family's 1533-position model. The record is from RNAcentral.